CCUACGGGAGGCAGCAGUGAGGAAUAUUGGUCAAUGGACGAGAGUCUGAACCAGCCAAGCCGCGUGAGGGAUGACUGUCCUCUGAAUUGUAAACUUCUUUUGUAUGGGAAUAAAGUGUUCCACGUGUUCACUGUUGUAUGUACCAUAUGAAUAAGGAUCGGCGAACUCCGUGCCAUCAGCCGCGGUAAUACGGAGGAUCCGAGCGUUAUCCGGAUUUAUUGGGGUUAAAGGGAGCGUAGGUGGAUGGUUAAGUCAGUUGUGAAAGUUUGGGGCUCAACCGGCGAAUGGCAGUUGAAACUGGCAGUCUGGAGUACGGGAGAGGUGGGCGGAAUUCGUGGUGUAGCGGUGAAAUGCGUAGAUAUCACGAAGAACUCCGAUUGCGAAGGCAGCUAACUGG
RNAcentral lists this ribosomal RNA (397 nucleotides) under uncultured bacterium. Its description in RNAcentral is "partial 16S ribosomal RNA". It matches the Rfam family "Bacterial small subunit ribosomal RNA", at positions 338 to 732 of the family's 1533-position model. The record is from RNAcentral.